RNAcentral lists this ribosomal RNA (397 nucleotides) under uncultured bacterium. Its description in RNAcentral is "bacterial SSU rRNA". It matches the Rfam family "Bacterial small subunit ribosomal RNA", at positions 28 to 417 of the family's 1533-position model. The record is from RNAcentral.
GACGAACGCUGGCGGCGUGCCUAACACAUGCAAGUCGAACGAGGUCCAACCAAUGGCAACAUUGGGGAAUACCUAGUGGCGAACGGGUGAGUAACACGUGAGGAACCUGCCCCGAAGACCGGGAUAACGCUCCGAAAGGAACGCUAAUACCGGAUACCUUCACCUGAUCGCAUGAUAGGGUGAAGAAAUGGAUUCCGCUUCGGGAGGGUCUCGCGGCCUAUCAGCUUGUUGGUGGGGNGAUGGCCUACCAAGGCGACGACGGGUAGCCGGCCUGAGAGGGCGACCGGCCACACUGGGACUGAGACACGGCCCAGACUCCUACGGGAGGCAGCAGUGGGGAAUCUUGCGCAAUGGGCGAAAGCCUGACGCAGCGACGCCGCGUGAGGGAUGACGGCCU